UACGUAGGGUGCAAGCGUUGUCCGGAAUUAUUGGGCGUAAAGAGCUCGUAGGCGGCUUGGCAAGUCGGGUGUGAAACCUCCAGGCUCAACCUGGAGACGCCACCCGAGACUGCUAUGGCUAGAGUCCGGUAGGGGAUCACGGAAUUCCUGGUGUAGCGGUGAAAUGCGCAGAUAUCAGGAGGAACACCGGUGGCGAAGGCGGUGAUCUGGGCCGGCACUGACGCUGAGGAGCGAAAGCGUGGGUAGCAAACAGG
RNAcentral lists this ribosomal RNA (254 nucleotides) under uncultured bacterium. RNAcentral describes it as "partial 16S ribosomal RNA". It matches the Rfam family "Bacterial small subunit ribosomal RNA", at positions 524 to 776 of the family's 1533-position model. The record is from RNAcentral.